Molecule: long non-coding RNA, 525 nt
Filed under: Astyanax mexicanus (Mexican tetra)
Lineage: Eukaryota; Metazoa; Chordata; Actinopteri; Characiformes; Acestrorhamphidae
Description: lncRNA (ENSAMXG00005024623.1)
Source: RNAcentral
GGAAUAUCCUGGAUAAGUACUUAAUUACUAUUUUUAUUGAGUUUUUAGCCACUUAGCUCCAUUCACCCCCAUUCAUUUUGGACUCGCUCGCGGGCUCCCCCUAGCGGUGGGCGGUAUUUUCUGGUAUAACGGAGAGCUGGGGAGUGGGCAGUCUCUCCAUAAACUGCCUGUAUAACCGCUCUACAUAACUCAGAGGAUUCAUAUAUAUCAUAUUACACCGUAUUAAACAUUUUUAAUAGGUUUCUCAGUCCUGAGGCCAGUGCCAGUGCUUGGCCGCCCCCUGCUUAGGGAAGACGUUUACCAUAUCCGGCUGGACGAGGCCCAUCUGAGAAUUGGCUCUUGUCAAGCAAGGAGUGUAUGGAUACAAACGAGGGGUCUCCCAGGGAGCAGGCUCCCUCUGUGGCUGCCAGUCAGAACACAUGGUCCACGAUGGGCCAUUUUCUGAUAGUCAGGGGGCUGAUGGGAUGGAGGAAGACAAUGUCUCAGUCCUCGGCUAAAGGUAAAACCAAGCCCCAUAGUUAUUGA